GGCUGGUCCAAUGGUAGUGGGUUAUCAGAAAUUACUAACAGUGUCACUCAAGUUGGUAUACAACCCCCACUACUAAAUUGGCUUAAA
This 87-nucleotide Y RNA is filed under the name Dasypus novemcinctus (nine-banded armadillo). RNAcentral describes it as "Y RNA (ENSDNOG00000046852.1)". It matches the Rfam family "Y RNA". Rfam says of the family: Y RNAs are components of the Ro ribonucleoprotein particle (Ro RNP), in association with Ro60 and La proteins. The Y RNAs and Ro60 and La proteins are well conserved, but the function of the Ro RNP is not known. The record is from RNAcentral. Lineage: Eukaryota; Metazoa; Chordata; Mammalia; Cingulata; Dasypodidae.